This 1429-nucleotide long non-coding RNA is filed under the name Oryzias sinensis (Chinese medaka). RNAcentral's name for it is "lncRNA (ENSOSIG00000009458.1)". Lineage: Eukaryota; Metazoa; Chordata; Actinopteri; Beloniformes; Adrianichthyidae. The record is from RNAcentral.
UUAAGGCAGUGUGCUGCACUGCAUGCUGGUAAAAGAAUACAAGAGGAAACAUUUGAUCAGACAAAAACCACAUGCUCUGCAAGCAAGUCCCUCCGUACUGCUACUUAUUUAUAGCCUACCUUAGAGUUGACCUUAGACCCUUUCUUUGGGUAAAUAGUUAGCACACAAACUAGUUUAGACUGGAUAGGUCCAUAAAGGGUCUUCCUGCACAGAUUUCCUGCAAACCAAUGCAGUAGAUUUCUAAGCCUUUCUUUCAGACCUUUAUUGAUUUGUUUAACUUCAGGUGAUGAUUAGGACAGUUGCCAAGAAUUCAGUGGGGAUUUUUAUUCUAAACUGAAAUUAGAUUUCUUUUUAAAUAAAUAAAUAUUAGUUGGUGAGUUUAAAAACACCACCAAUAAAAUAAUGCCUGUCUGGUUUGGUGUGUAAAUUGAAGUUGCUAUUUCUGCAGAGCAGUCCACUAUUAUUCAACAUUAUUCUUUCAUGCAAAAUACAAUAUUUCCAUAUAGAAGCGGUUUGAGCUGGAUUGCUUGUUUGCUCGAAUUUGUGUUCUGGUAAUAAAACUUGUUGAAAUUAUUCAUCUUCAACUUUUUCUUGUAGUUUUAGGUUUGCAGCUGUGAUUUGCAUUUCACUCAUGUCAUUUACUGCUAGUCAUCUGUCAUUUUCAGAUAUUUUUUUUUAGUUUAAUUUUAAUCACUGAGAUUUAUUAUAGGCUUCAGCGACCCUUAGCAGAAGAUUUUUUAAAUGUAUUUUUGUUUUCGUGUCAAGCGUGUCAAGAGUUAAAGAACUGUAAUCGCAUGAUCAACGAAACGUCUUCUAGAUAAACCUUUGAAGUCCAGUGGUCCAGACAAACAGAAUUAUGGGAAGACAACAAACAUUAUUAACUUUAGGAUCCUAUUUGUUUGUUUAAACAAUGGAACUUUAGUUUUAACCCUUAGUAGUUUAGAUGACAGAGUUUUUGAAAGUGAUGUAUAACUUACCAGAUUGGUGCAAAAUGGAGUGAAUGGAGUAAACAGCAGGUAGGUAGGUAGGUAGGUAGGUAGGUAGGUAGGUAGGUAGGUAGGUGGGUGGGUGGGUGGGUAGGUAGGUAGGUAGGUAGGUAGGUAGAUAGAUAGAUAGAUAGAAUCAAGUGUAUGUAUUGCAUGUGUACAAAAAAAACAAGUAAACAAGACUUUAUGGUAAGUCCAUUUACAUAAUUUUAUAAAGUUCAGCCUACUGUUGUUUUUCGAAUAGAAUAGAAUAGGUCUUUAAUAAUCGCUGAGGAAAUUUAAAAAUGGCCAUCUGCUCACACUCAUAAAACACAUACACAUAUUAAAAACAAUAAAAAUAGUAAAAAAAUAGCAAUAGACUAAAAAGAUUAAUAAAUAAAAAGAUUAAUAAUUUAAAAAACAGUGGGUAAGAAAAUGAAAUCAAAAUAAAUAAAAACAAGAAU